This is a long non-coding RNA of Harpia harpyja (harpy eagle), 443 nucleotides long. RefSeq lists it as uncharacterized. The record is from RefSeq and is a predicted model, not a curated record. The transcript has 3 exons. NCBI's taxonomy places the organism in Eukaryota, Metazoa, Chordata, Aves, Accipitriformes, Accipitridae.
UGUUGUGGUCUGCCUUCUGACGAGUGAAAUGUGAACAGGAAGUGGGAAGGAGCAAGCUUUGUCUCUCUACUGCCAGUGUGCUUCAUACAUUUGUGAAGAAGCAGACCCACAUCAUAAAACCAACUGAAAGCCACGGAGGUACCUCUCUAAAAAAUGUAAUGGACUGUACUGAAAGCCUAACUUUGACUGAUGUGAGGUUUGGGACUUUAUCCAGGUCCUUUUCAAAGCACUGAGAUAUCAAGGCUCAGAUUUUCAGAGGCCCUGAUUUCAGCAAGAGCUGCACUUCUGAAGGUCAAACCACAGGCUCUUUACAACAGACUAAUCCAAGGCUACUUUAAACAAGUCAUCUUGGUCCAAGACUCUUCAACUGUUCGUUGUAUGCCAACAUCUCAGGGCAGAAUCUAAGCUUCUUGGCUCUGUGAAUCUCUGUGCUCUUAGUGAUG